CUCAAAGGAAUUGACGGGGCCCGCACAAGCGGUGGAGCAUGUGGUUAAUUCGAUGCAACGCGAAGAACCUUACCUACCCUUGACAUCCAGAGAAUCUGUGAGAGAUCGUAGAGUGCCUUCGGGAACUCUGAGACAGGUGCUGCAUGGCUGUCGUCAGCUCGUGUCGUGAGAUGUUGGGUUAAGUCCCGCAACGAGCGCAACCCUUGCCAUUAAUUGCCAUCAUUUAGUUGGGCACUUUAAUGGGACUGCCGGUGACAAACCGGAGGAAGGUGGGGAUGACGUCAAGUCCUCAUGGCCCUUAUGGCCAGGGCUUCACACGUAAUACAAUGGUCGGUACAGAGGGUUGCCAACCCGCGAGGGGGAGCCAAUCCCAGAAAGCCGAUCGUAGUCCGGAUUGCAGUCUGCAACUCGACUGCAUGAAGUCGGAAUCGCUAGUAAUCGCGGAUCAGCAUGUCGCGGUGAAUACGUUCCCGGGCCUUGUACACACCGCCCGUCACACCAUGGGAGUGGGUUCCACCAGAAGUAGGUAGUCUAACCGCAAGGAGGACGCUUACCACGGUGGGGUUCACGACUGGGGUGAAGUCGUAACAAGGUAACCGUA
This 601-nucleotide ribosomal RNA is filed under the name uncultured bacterium. RNAcentral describes it as "bacterial SSU rRNA". It matches the Rfam family "Bacterial small subunit ribosomal RNA", at positions 900 to 1504 of the family's 1533-position model. The record is from RNAcentral.